GACGAACGCUGGCGGCGUGCUUAACACAUGCAAGUCGAACGGAAAGGCCCUGCUUUUGUGGGUUGCUCGAGUGGCGAACGGGUGAGUAACACGUGAGUAACCUGCCCUUGACUUUGGGAUAACUUCAGGAAACUGGGUCUAAUACCGGAUAGGAGCUUCUGCUGCAUGGUGGGGGUUGGAAAGUUUCGGCGGUUGGGGAUGGACUCGCGGCUUAUCAGCUUGUUGGUGGGGUAGUGGCUUACCAAGGCUUUGAGGGGUAGCCGGCCUGAGAGGGUGACCGGCCACAUUGGGACUGAGAUACGGCCCAGAAUCCUACGGGAGGCAGCAGGGGGGAAUAUUGCAAAAUGGGCGGAAGCCUGAUGCAGAAACGCCGCGUGCGGGAUGACGGCCUUCGGGGUGUAAACCGAUUUCGACGGUGACGAAGAGUGAGUGACGGUAAUGGGUAAAGAAGCACCGGCUAACUACGUG
This 468-nucleotide ribosomal RNA is filed under the name uncultured bacterium. Its description in RNAcentral is "partial 16S ribosomal RNA". It matches the Rfam family "Bacterial small subunit ribosomal RNA", at positions 28 to 507 of the family's 1533-position model. The record is from RNAcentral.